UACGUAGGGUGCAAGCGUUAAUCGGAAUUACUGGGCGUAAAGCGUGCGCAGGCGGUUGUGCAAGACAGAUGUGAAAUCCCCGGGCUUAACCUGGGAACUGCAUUUGUGACUGCACGGCUAGAGUGUGUCAGAGGGGGGUAGAAUUCCACGUGUAGCAGUGAAAUGCGUAGAUAUGUGGAGGAACACCGAUGGCGAAGGCAGCCCCCUGGGUCAAGACUGACGCUCAUGCACGAAAGCGUGGGGAGCAAACAGG
RNAcentral lists this ribosomal RNA (253 nucleotides) under uncultured bacterium. Its description in RNAcentral is "partial 16S ribosomal RNA". It matches the Rfam family "Bacterial small subunit ribosomal RNA", at positions 524 to 776 of the family's 1533-position model. The record is from RNAcentral.